CACGUAGGGCGCAAGCGUUGUCCGGAAUUAUUGGGCGUAAAGAGCUCGUAGGCGGACUGUCACGUCUGCUGUGAAAAGCUGGGGCUUAACCCUGGCCUUGCAGUGGAUACGGGCAGACUAGAGGUAGGUAGGGGAGAAUGGAAUUCCCGGUGUAGCGGUGAAAUGCGCAGAUAUCGGGAGGAACACCCGUGGCGAAAGCGGCUCUCUGGAACGGUACUGACGCUGAGGCGCGAAAGCUAGGGGAGCAAACGGG
RNAcentral lists this ribosomal RNA (253 nucleotides) under uncultured bacterium. RNAcentral describes it as "partial 16S ribosomal RNA". It matches the Rfam family "Bacterial small subunit ribosomal RNA", at positions 524 to 776 of the family's 1533-position model. The record is from RNAcentral.